UGUUCGUCUGCCAUCUUGCUAUUUAAUGCAAUGCUUUCUGAAUAUUGAAUAGAAAGAAGUAUUUGUACAAUAUGGGCAAGGUAUAAAGAAUAUCCACACACUAGACACACAGACAGGGAGGGGCACCCACAGCAAACUCCCUUCGCCUGGGAGCAGGCACUGCGCUCAGGGCGGGGAUUUGGGAUUCACCAGGGCACGAGGCAAUGUGCCUCUGUCCUCACGGAGCCUAAGUGCUGGUGGAGACGGACAGUGCAGAUGCCAACCGCAAAUGACGAGGCACUUGCAGGUCCCAGCCCAUUCAGAGUUUUCAAGGAAGCAGCUCCCCCCACCAGGCUACUGUCACCUUCCUGGGACCUGUGAGCUCCUCAUCACCCAAGCUGGCAGAAUACCUCCAACUCAUGGCUCCGUGAAACCUGAGUGCCUGCCUCCGCUGACCGAUUCCCUGGGUGGAUUUUCUUCUGGUGGUCAGAAAAAUAUAUCAGUCUUUUCCA
Molecule: long non-coding RNA, 491 nt
Organism: Symphalangus syndactylus (siamang)
Lineage: Eukaryota; Metazoa; Chordata; Mammalia; Primates; Hylobatidae
Source: RefSeq, a predicted model, not a curated record